UAAGAGAAAGCCGAAAAUCUUUAAAAGAGUAGGUA
This 35-nucleotide non-coding RNA is filed under the name unclassified sequences. RNAcentral describes it as "DUF805b RNA". It matches the Rfam family "DUF805b RNA". Rfam says of the family: Bacteroidetes, Chlorobi (1 example), Proteobacteria. The record is from RNAcentral.